Molecule: ribosomal RNA, 428 nt
Filed under: uncultured bacterium
Lineage: Bacteria
Description: bacterial SSU rRNA
Rfam family: Bacterial small subunit ribosomal RNA
Source: RNAcentral
UGGGGAAUCUUGCGCAAUGCGCGAAAGCGUGACGCAGCAACGCCGCGUGGGGGAAGACGGCCUUCGGGUUGUAAACCCCUUUCAGGAGGGACGAAGGUUCGCCGGUGAAUAGCCGUGCGGAUUGACGGUACCUCCAGAAGAAGCUCCGGCUAACUACGUGCCAGCAGCCGCGGUAAUACGUAGGGAGCAAGCGUUGUCCGGAAUCAUUGGGCGUAAAGCGCGCGUAGGUGGCUUCAUAAGUCCGUUGUGAAAGUCAAAGGCUCAACCUUUGAAAGCCGAUGGAUACUGUGAAGCUAGAGUACGGAAGAGGCGAGUGGAAUUCCUGGUGUAGCGGUGGAAUGCGCAGAUAUCAGGAGGAACACCAAUAGCGAAGGCAGCUCGCUGGGACGUUACUGACACUGAGGCGCGAAAGCGUGGGGAGCGAACAG